This 253-nucleotide ribosomal RNA is filed under the name uncultured bacterium. RNAcentral describes it as "partial 16S ribosomal RNA". It matches the Rfam family "Bacterial small subunit ribosomal RNA", at positions 793 to 1055 of the family's 1533-position model. The record is from RNAcentral.
GUCCACGCCUAACGAUGCGACUGGACGUGGUGCAAUUGAGCAUUCAGUGUCGAAGCUAACGCGUUAAGUUCGCCGCCUGGGAGUACGGUCGCAAGACUGAACUCAAGGAUUGACGGGCCGGCACAAGCGGUGGAGUAUGUGGUUAAUUCGAUGCAACGCGCAGAACCUUACCUGGUCUUGACAUCCACGGAACCUUUGCAGAGAUGCGGGGGUGCCUUCGGGAACCGUGAGACAGGUGCUGCAUGGCUGUCGU